Homo sapiens (human) is the source of this 2005-nucleotide long non-coding RNA. Ensembl annotates it as HLA complex P5. Its record names the gene HCP5. Lineage: Eukaryota; Metazoa; Chordata; Mammalia; Primates; Hominidae. The record is from Ensembl.
AGAUUCUCCCCAGACGCCAAGGUUGCGGGUCAUGGAGUCCCGAACCCUCCUCCUGCUGUUCUCGGGAGCCGUGGCCCUGAUCCAGACCUGGGCAGGACCCUGACUGUCCCACAGAAGAAGUGACAAGAAUUUAUUUAUGACAUGACAAUAACACAUGUAUUCAUGGUGUUAAUUCGAUUUGUUUCAUAGAGACAGGGUCUUGCUAUGUUGCCCAGGCUGGUCUUCCACUCCUGGCCUCAAGCAAUCCCCCUGACUUGGACUUCCAAAGUGCUAGCAUUACAGGUGUGAGCCAUUGUGCCCAGCCCUUAACUUGAAAAUCUGACAGUAUAAUAAAAGAAAAAAAUAGAAGUAUUCUGGAAAUGGAAGAGGAAAGAAGGCUAAGGUGGAAAUCAUCAAUCUGUGUCAUCUGAGAAGCCCCACGUGCAGAGGCUGUCCCGGGACUUUAGGGGAGAACAAAAACAAAGCACCCAGGAUCCUGGUGUCAGGGACAGAGCAUGGCCACGGCGGGAUGGUAGUGGCUCUCCUAUGAAAUAAUGCUCAUAAACAUCCCUUGUGAGAAGGAUCAGAUCAACAUAUAAAAAUAUGCCAAAUAAAGUGAAACUCAAGGCAGGAGUGGGACUGGCCAUUCUCAGCCCGUGACCUCCAUGGACUUGGAGAAAGGCUCAGCCUGGAGAUGUGUGAGGCCUCCGACCUGGAGCAGCACCCGCCCCUAAAGACCAGGCACAAAUCCCAGCACAUGGAGGGAUCCAGACAAAUACACAAGAGAUGACCACAGCAGGAGCUUUACUGGGCACAGAGCGAGGCCACACACCACUCAGCUCCUGCCCCUCCACCUGCCCUUCUCUCCCCACCUGCCCCUGCCCCAGCACAGCAGAUCCUCAGAAUCCAAAAAGAGAACCUAACUUCCAUGUUUUAUUAAUGGCUUAUAAUAUUUUAUCACAUCUUCAGAAAACACUAUGCAGAAGAUAACUGUAGAGCAAGACAUCUAUUUAGGGUGAGUGAGUCACAGUGGAGAUCUGGGAGGGAGACCCUGUAACCCUUUCAUUCCAAGAAAAGAAAGGUCGAUCCAAAGAAGGGGACCCCAGGCCUGGAUAUUGGGAUUACAUGAAAGGGGUUCUGGGGCAUCAGGGGAAUGGGUCCCUCUCCCUACAUCCUCCCGGGGCUGUGCUUGGGAGGACAGCAGCUGGGGGAAGAAAAGUCAGGGUCCACAGAGAUAUAAGGGGGCUGAGAACUAUCUGUGUCUUGCUGGUCUGCACAAGGCAGCUCUCAAACUGUGGAGAACAUGGUAAUGACCAGAUUCAGCUCAGCCACUCUCAGCCUUUACACCUAGAGCAUUAUGGGCAGCCCAUCACCAUCCCCUACCUUCAAAUCCAAAGAUCGCUACAGCCCAAAGCUGCUCCCUGGCCUCAACUCCUGUUGGUAUCAGGCCCCAAGGAAGCUGUGAGCACGUCUGCCUGGGACCCUGUCACCAUCUGGAGAAUGACAAUAAAGAGGACCCAGCAGCCUGCAGGAGGAGACUGUAUUUGAGGCAGGACCAUGGGAUGGGUGAGGCACAGGACUGUGGCUCCAUCCUCUCUAUUUGAGGAGUUAGAGAUGAGCUGCCUCUGCCACCCCUUCCAUGGUGAUAUUUCUAGAGUACACCCCUGUGCUGAAAUUCUUAUGAGGAAAGAGACCUGAUGAGAUGCUAUGGUGAAGAGGGGCCAUAAGGGUCUUGAAUACCAAGUUAAUUUUGCUACCAGCUGAGAUUAGGAAGUGAAGCCCAGGACCCAGGAGAGGAGGAGGAGGAGAUAACACAGGACCCUGUGAUCACUCUCCUGGCCAUCUGUGUACAGUGAGAUGCUUCCCUUCGGGGUUGGGAGCACCCAGUGUCAUGGUCCUGAGUGUUGCUACCCUGCUGUUCUCAUCUGUGAAUGCAGCCAGACCACUUUCUUCCUCUGAUAUAAAUAACUUGGAGGAUCUGUCACCAGACACCUCAUAUCUACAUAUUAAUAAAUUCUGUACAGUG